RNAcentral lists this long non-coding RNA (1227 nucleotides) under Struthio camelus australis. Its description in RNAcentral is "lncRNA (ENSSCUG00000004473.1)". The record is from RNAcentral. Lineage: Eukaryota; Metazoa; Chordata; Aves; Struthioniformes; Struthionidae.
GGGGCUGCGGAUGUCGGGGCUGGACCCUCCUCGCCCGGUGCAGAACGCAAGGCACCCACAACCUCAACCUUUGGGGACCUUCCCCCAAAAUCCCCCCAAACGCUCCUCUCCUCGGGGAGGGGAGCAGUUACCUCCCAUGGGGUUGCUGAAGCUCGGACCCACGCCCCGGGGCUGGGGAGGAGGCGAAGAGCCAAGGUGCCCAGAGGGACAAGCCUGUCACCAAGCUUCCAGGGCUGGAUCCUCGGCGGGUGUAAGCUGGUGCAGCUCCACACCCCAGCCACCCGGACCUGCACCAGUGUGGGAGAGCAGAGCCCCAGGGAAAGCCGUGCUGGAAAAAUCGAGCCUUGCAUCGCCAGCCAGGCAUCGCAGCUCAGAUCUUCAUCAUCGGUAAUGCGAGUUUGGCCAGGAUGAAGGAAUGCUGUGACCUGAUGCUAAUAUUUUAGAUGGUGACUUUCAUCCCAGGAAAUCUCAAUGCACCGGAGUGCGGCCUCUCCUGAGGUGGGAGGGGGCAGCCAGCCAGACACAUGAAUUGCAUCCAGGCAAGGAAGGGAUCUUUUCACCAGCAUCACCCGCCCAAAGCUGUCUGCUCUCUAAAUAUGCCUUCAGAUUUUUAAUGUCCAUGCAAAAAAAAAAAAAAAAAGGGAGAGAGAGAGAGAGAGAGAAAAUAGAGAAAGAAAAUAGAGAGAGAAAAAAUAGAAAGAGCUUGAUGAAUAAGGUCCUUUAGGGAGCAAGAGGGAGUCACUUCUGCAGACACCUCCCUCAUCUCCACUGCAAGGAUGAAGAAGGCAUCUCAGAUGAUAUCCAGGUGAGGGAUAAAGCAGGGCCACGUGGACCUGGAAGAUCUCAUGGGGGAGCAGCACCAACUGGGAAAUCCACAGCUCUUGGCUGAGUCCCAAGGACAUGGUGAGCAGUACCUGGCCCCCUGGCUCUGAGAUCACACUGAUGCCUGUGCCCUCAUCCCCCAGCCAUGACCUGAGACAUUGGGCAGGUCCCCAGUCCAGCGUGCCCAGACCUACACAUGGGGCCACGGGAAGCCUGAAGGGAGCAGCAAAGCCCCAAGCAUGACCUAAAGGAGAGGACAGGGAGGCACCAGGAUUGUGCAGUGUCUCCACCCAUGGAGGGACUUUGGAGGAAGGUGGCCUGCACCUCAGAAGCAGUUUAGGACAAGAUGAUCCUGCUUUGGGGUGGAGGCCACCAAGCCAGCCUCUCCAGCUCCUUCUAGACCAG